GACGAACGCUGGCGGCGUGCUUAACACAUGCAAGUCGAGCGGUAAGGCCCUUUCGGGGGUACACGAGCGGCGAACGGGUGAGUAACACGUGGGUGACCUGCCCUUAGCUCUGGGAUAAGCCUGGGAAACUGGGUCUAAUACCGGAUAUGACCUCAUGACUCAUGUUGUGGGGUGGAAAGCCUUGUGCGGCUAGGGAUGGGCCCGCGGUCUAUCAGCUUGUUGGUGGGGUAAUUGCCUACCAAGGCGACGACGGGUAGCCGGCCUGAGAGGGCGACCGGCCACACUGGGACUGAGACACGGCCCAGACUCCUACGGGAGGCAGCAGUGGGGAAUCUUGCGCAAUGGGCGAAGGCCUGACGCAGCGACGCCGCGUGA
This 375-nucleotide ribosomal RNA is filed under the name uncultured bacterium. RNAcentral describes it as "bacterial SSU rRNA". It matches the Rfam family "Bacterial small subunit ribosomal RNA", at positions 28 to 404 of the family's 1533-position model. The record is from RNAcentral.